GGCCAGGUGGCGGAGUGGUUAACGCGGUAGACUCGAAUCAACAUCGUCAUCUACUUCCUUCGGGAGCGUCUGUUCGAAUCAGGCCCUGGUCG
Molecule: transfer RNA, 92 nt
Filed under: Xylaria arbuscula
Lineage: Eukaryota; Fungi; Ascomycota; Sordariomycetes; Xylariales; Xylariaceae
Description: tRNA-Ser
Rfam family: tRNA
About the family: Transfer RNA (tRNA) molecules are approximately 80 nucleotides in length. Their secondary structure includes four short double-helical elements and three loops (D, anti-codon, and T loops).
Source: RNAcentral